AGGUGAUGUAAUUGUCAACCUUGAAUCCACUCUUUGACCCCUCCCUGCCUAACCAGCCCAACUCAGAGUCUGGCACAAGGGGAUGCACACAGAAGUCCUGAAAUAAAUGUUAGUUGAAUGAACGCAGGGAUGGAUGAGCGAAUGAAAAAUCCUUUCCGAUGUGUCUUCAGAUUUGAAAAGCCAUGUGACCUCGUGCAGUUCAUGAAUGCCACGUGGGAAUUACACGACCUUCAAGCUCUUCUCAUUGAUCUUGGCAGAAACCUUACACCUGACAGGAUAUAUAUUUUGCAACUGUGGCUUUUUGUCAUUAGGGUAAAGACGCGGGUGGAAGAGUCUCUGCUUUGAUGAUCCCUGUCCCUGAACGACGUGCUGCACAGCAAGGUGGUUAAGACUCAGAGGUCAGUCUCCAAGGAGGCAGGGGCCGUCUCUCCUGUGGCUCAGAGCCGUUCACAGCUGACUACCAGAAUAACCUGGGACUGUCUCCAAAAACGGUCACUCUGGAGCACAGC
Molecule: long non-coding RNA, 509 nt
Organism: Zalophus californianus (California sea lion)
Lineage: Eukaryota; Metazoa; Chordata; Mammalia; Carnivora; Otariidae
Exons: 3
Source: RefSeq, a predicted model, not a curated record